This 429-nucleotide ribosomal RNA is filed under the name Bacteroidota bacterium. RNAcentral's name for it is "Bacteroidetes bacterium partial 16S ribosomal RNA". It matches the Rfam family "Bacterial small subunit ribosomal RNA", at positions 355 to 776 of the family's 1533-position model. The record is from RNAcentral. Lineage: Bacteria; Pseudomonadati; Bacteroidota.
UAGGGAAUCUUCGGCAAUGGGGGGAACCCUGACCGAGCAACGCCGCGUGAGUGAAGAAGGAUUUCGGUUCGUAAAACUCUGUUGUUAGAGAAGAACAGCGCAUAGAGUAACUGUUAUGCGUGUGACGGUAUCUAACCAGAAAGCCACGGCUAACUACGUGCCAGCAGCCGCGGUAAUACGUAGGUGGCAAGCGUUGUCCGGAUUUAUUGGGCGUAAAGCGAGCGCAGGCGGUCAAUUAAGUCUGAUGUGAAAGCCCCCGGCUCAACCGGGGAGGGUCAUUGGAAACUGGUUGACUUGAGUGCAGAAGAGGAGAGUGGAAUUCCAUGUGUAGCGGUGAAAUGCGUAGAUAUAUGGAGGAACACCAGUGGCGAAGGCGACUCUCUGGUCUGUAACUGACGCUGAGGUUCGAAAGCGUGGGUAGCAAACAGG